UUAUUGGGCGUAAAGCGUUUCGUAGGCGACUAGGUAAGUUAUCUUUCAAAGACCACGGCUUAACCGGGGGAAGGGAGGUAAUACUGCCAGGUUUGACUUCCGGUGGGGCUUCCGGAACUGAUGGUGUAGUAGUGAAAUACGUUGAUAUCAUCAGGAACUCCGAGGGCGAAGGCAGGAAGCUAACCAUUUUUUGACACUGAGGAACGACAGCUAGGGGAGCGAA
RNAcentral lists this ribosomal RNA (223 nucleotides) under Candidatus Woesebacteria bacterium. RNAcentral's name for it is "partial 16S ribosomal RNA". It matches the Rfam family "Bacterial small subunit ribosomal RNA", at positions 551 to 772 of the family's 1533-position model. Lineage: Bacteria; Candidatus Woeseibacteriota. The record is from RNAcentral.